AUAGAUUUUUUCAUGAAAGAUAUAAAGCAAGCAUCCUAGAGAUCUAUAGAGAUAGAUGCAAUUGGAUGCUUGUAUUUUCAUAGAUAAAGUAUAGAGAGUAGAUGUUGAAAGGGUUCGACAUAGAAACCUUGAAGAAGGGUCUACUGCUCUCUUGGACAUAGAAGUAUGCCAUAUAAUAUACUUGAACUGAUAUAGAUAAUACUGUAAAUGUCACGAGUAGAUAUCAGUUAUAUCUAGGC
This 239-nucleotide long non-coding RNA is filed under the name Elaeis guineensis (African oil palm). RNAcentral describes it as "long non-coding RNA (EGUI_LNC042545)". Lineage: Eukaryota; Viridiplantae; Streptophyta; Magnoliopsida; Arecales; Arecaceae. The record is from RNAcentral.